GGGUUGGCCAAAAAAAGUUUGUUUGGGUUUUCCUGUAAGCUGGUAUGGAAAACCUGAAACAAACUUUUUAGCCAACCCA
MicroRNA precursor from Bos grunniens (domestic yak), 79 nucleotides. NCBI's taxonomy places the organism in Eukaryota, Metazoa, Chordata, Mammalia, Artiodactyla, Bovidae. The record is from Ensembl.